Non-coding RNA from Arachis ipaensis, 107 nucleotides. The record is from RefSeq and is a predicted model, not a curated record. NCBI's taxonomy places the organism in Eukaryota, Viridiplantae, Streptophyta, Magnoliopsida, Fabales, Fabaceae.
GCCUGACCUCUUUUGAAGAGGUCGGACACCGACUUCUUAAGGGCGAAAGCCCUACUCACUCAAAGCAGAUAAACUGCUCCCUAAAACCUCCACUGUAUCUAGAAGGU